GCUGGGCAUGGUGGCUCAUGCCUGUAAUCCUAGCACCCUGGGAGGCUGAGGUGGGAGGAUCACUUGAGCCUAGCAGUUUGAAGUUGCAGUGAGCUAUGAUAAUGCCACUGCACUCUAGCCUGGGCAACAGAGUGAGACCCUGUCUCAA
This 148-nucleotide non-coding RNA is filed under the name Otolemur garnettii (small-eared galago). Lineage: Eukaryota; Metazoa; Chordata; Mammalia; Primates; Galagidae. The record is from Rfam by way of RNAcentral.